Molecule: transfer RNA, 83 nt
Filed under: Chlamydiae bacterium RIFCSPHIGHO2_12_FULL_49_11
Lineage: Bacteria; Pseudomonadati; Chlamydiota
Description: tRNA-Leu
Rfam family: tRNA
About the family: Transfer RNA (tRNA) molecules are approximately 80 nucleotides in length. Their secondary structure includes four short double-helical elements and three loops (D, anti-codon, and T loops).
Source: RNAcentral
GCCGGUGUGGCGGAACGGUAGACGCGGCAGACUCAAAAUCUGCUCUUGGCAACAGGGUGCUGGUUCGAGUCCGGUCAUCGGCA